Molecule: unclassified non-coding RNA, 384 nt
Filed under: Hevea brasiliensis (rubber tree)
Lineage: Eukaryota; Viridiplantae; Streptophyta; Magnoliopsida; Malpighiales; Euphorbiaceae
Source: RNAcentral
UCAACGGUUGAUUUGUCAUCAGGUCUUUGCACUCCCCUUAUCACUCUUUUUCCAUGUUAUAUAGUGAUAAAUUUUACUGAUACGUUAGGAUUUUGCUUUGUAUGAUGCUUCACUUGGCAGGGAAAGCCUGGGUGUCACCAUCAGAAAGAUAUGCUGUCGUUCCUGAUGAAUCGGUGAGCAGUUUCUUCUUCUUUCCUACUUGUUAUGAAAGUUGAUAUGAAAGUUGGAGAGAUUUGAAAUUUUUGUUCUUGUGUGAUUAUGUUAAAAAUUUGCACUUAAUGUGCUUACCUAUGAUAGAGGUAUGCUGGAUGGCCAUGAAAUUGUUAUGAUGAUUAAUUAACACGUAAAAAAUCGAAGAGCAUAAUUUAAAAAAUAAAUAAAUAA